ACUCCUACGGGAGGCAGCAGUGGGGAAUAUUGCACAAUGGGCGCAAGCCUGAUGCAGCCAUGCCGCGUGUAUGAAGAAGGCCUUCGGGUUGUAAAGUACUUUCAGCAGUGAGGAAGGUGGAUAUGUUAAUAGCAUAUUCAUUUGACGUUAGCUGCAGAAGAAGCACCGGCUAACUCCGUGCCAGCAGCCGCGGUAAUACGGAGGGUGCGAGCGUUAAUCGGAAUUACUGGGCGUAAAGCGCAUGCAGGUGGUUUGUUAAGUCAGAUGUGAAAGCCCGGGGCUCAACCUCGGAAUUGCAUUUGAAACUGGCAAACUAGAGUACUGUAGAGGGGGGUAGAAUUUCAGGUGUAGCGGUGAAAUGCGUAGAGAUCUGAAGGAAUACCGGUGGCGAAGGCGGCCCCCUGGACAGAUACUGACACUCAGAUGCGAAAGCGUGGGGAGCAAACAGGAUUAGAUACCCUGGUAGCCUCUGC
Molecule: ribosomal RNA, 473 nt
Filed under: uncultured bacterium
Lineage: Bacteria
Description: bacterial SSU rRNA
Rfam family: Bacterial small subunit ribosomal RNA
Source: RNAcentral